Molecule: ribosomal RNA, 445 nt
Filed under: uncultured bacterium
Lineage: Bacteria
Description: bacterial SSU rRNA
Rfam family: Bacterial small subunit ribosomal RNA
Source: RNAcentral
CCAGACUCCUACGGGAGGCAGCAGUCGGGAAUAUUGCACAAUGGAGGAAACUCUGAUGCAGUGACACCGCGUAUAGGAAGAAGGUUUUCGGAUUGUAAACUAUUUUAGACAGGGAAGAAAAAAGACAGUACCUGUAGAAUAAGCUCCGGCUAACUACGUGCCAGCAGCCGCGGUAAUACGUAGGGAGCAAGCGUUAUCCGGAAUUAUUGGGUGUAAAGGGUGCGUAGACGGGACAGCAAGUUAGUUGUGAAAGCCCUCGGCUUAACUGAGGAACUGCAACUAAAACUAUUGUUCUUGAGUGCAGGAGAGGAAAGCGGAAUUCCUAGUGUAGCGGUGAAAUGCGUAGAUAUUAGGAGGAACACCAGUGGCGAAGGCGGCUUUCUGGACUGUAACUGACGUUGAGGCACGAAAGUGUGGGGAGCAAACAGGAUUAGAUACCCCAGUA